Molecule: long non-coding RNA, 472 nt
Organism: Rosa rugosa (rugosa rose)
Lineage: Eukaryota; Viridiplantae; Streptophyta; Magnoliopsida; Rosales; Rosaceae
Exons: 3
Source: RefSeq, a predicted model, not a curated record
UACUACCCAAAUCUUUAUGAUCGUUCAUCCCCAUCAUGCCCUACCUAGAUUUCUGCACAAGCUCAAUGGUGGACAAUGAACAUUCAAUUUCAAUGGUGGAUAAGAUUGGACAGAGAGAGAACAAAGAAGAUGCUCAAAGAAAGGGAUGCAAUGCUGGGUUUGCAGAUGAAGGAGAUUGAAAACAGAGGUCAAAUCCAGAAGAUGGUUAGAUGGUUGAGAUUGAUGUUGAUUGGGUGUUCAGAUUGAAUCAACUCUAUAAUCAACCCAUUAGAAAAGGAGCAGCAAAAAAAGGCCACUGGUACACCAUCAAUUAAGAUUGAGAAUUUUGAGGAGAUACUAUGAUUACCAAAUCUAUUUAAUUUCCCUCAAGAGUGCAGCACUUGAUGAUUUUUGAGAAAGAGAAUAGAAUAAUACCUCAUUAUGUUUAUGUCUCGGACUCCCGGUUCAUGAAAUUUGAAAUUGAAUGUUUACA